UGGGGAAUAUUGCGCAAUGGGCGAAAGCCUGACGCAGCCACGCCGCGUGAGUGAUGAAGGCCUUCGGGUUGUAAGGCUCUGUCGGAGGGGAAGAACAAAUGACGGUACCCUCCAAGAAAGCACCGGCUAACUCCGUGCCAGCAGCCGCGGUAAUACGAAGGGGGCUAGCGUUGUUCGGAAUUACUGGGCGUAAAGCGCAUGUAGGCGGAUCGCUAAGUCAGGGGUGAAAUCCCGAGGCUCAACCUCGGAACUGCCUUUGAUACUGGCGAUCUUGAGUCCGGGAGAGGUGAGUGGAACUCCGAGUGUAGAGGUGAAAUUCGUAGAUAUUCGGAAGAACACCAGUGGCGAAGGCGGCUCACUGGCCCGGUACUGACGCUGAGAUGCGAAAGCGUGGGGAGCAAA
RNAcentral lists this ribosomal RNA (402 nucleotides) under uncultured bacterium. RNAcentral's name for it is "bacterial SSU rRNA". It matches the Rfam family "Bacterial small subunit ribosomal RNA", at positions 355 to 772 of the family's 1533-position model. The record is from RNAcentral.